This is an RNA transcript of Oncorhynchus tshawytscha (Chinook salmon), 2737 nucleotides long. It is a transcript of the gene named aldehyde dehydrogenase family 3 member A2, with no coding region annotated. The transcript is spliced from 12 exons. NCBI's taxonomy places the organism in Eukaryota, Metazoa, Chordata, Actinopteri, Salmoniformes, Salmonidae. The record is from RefSeq and is a predicted model, not a curated record.
GCAUAAUGUAGUUCACCUCCUUGGUAAUGAGACAUCGAUAGCAGCGCAAUUUUUUCACACGGUGAAUGGCUUUUUAUUUUAUGCAAGAAGUUUGCGCAGAAUAGUAAAGUUUAUGAUAUCGUUUUAAAAAUAAAACACCGUCCCGCAGGGUUGAAUUUUUCAGAAGUGUAUUUUUUGUCCUUCGUUUUUUCCGAUUUAUUUAUUGACAACAGACAAUAAUCCCGCGUGCUUCUUUUAUUCAUGUGUGUGUGCUGGUGACCGGUUACCAUGGAGAAGCAGGCGGUGCAGAGGGCCAGGGAGGCUUUCCUCGCUGGGAGGCCGCGGCCCCUGGAGUUCAGAGUUCAGCAGCUCAAGUCUCUCCAGAGGAUGAUCACAGACAGACAGGGAGAGAUCGCCACCGCCCUCAAACAGGACAUCAACAGGAGCCAGUAUGACACCCCACUGUUUGAGUUGAUCGGCCUGGAGAAUGAGAUCAGCCUGGCUGUGUCGAAGCUGGCCCAGUGGGCUGCUCCUCGGCCUGUAGAGAGGAACCUCCUCACCAUCUCAGACCAGGCGUACAUCCAGCCGGAGCCCCUGGGAGUGGUCCUCAUUAUCGGGGCCUGGAACUACCCCUGGGCCCUAACCCUGCAGCCCCUGGUCGGGGCUAUCGCUGCAGGCAAUGCAGCUGUGGUGAAGCCGUCUGAGCUGAGUGAAUACUCAGCUAGUCUCCUCAAAGCUCUGCUCCCACGAUAUCUGGACCAGGAGCUGUACCCUGUAGUGUGUGGGGGCGUGUCAGAGACUCAGGAGUUGCUGCGUCAGCGUUUCGACCACGUCUUCUACACAGGGAACAGCACUGUGGGUAAACUGGUGAUGGAGGCAGCAGCCCGACACCUCACCCCCGUGACCCUGGAGCUGGGAGGGAAGAGCCCCUGUUACAUCGAUAAGGACGUCGACCUCAGAGUCGCAUGCCGGCGUAUCACGUGGGGGAAGUUUGUAAACUGUGGUCAGACGUGCAUCGCCCCAGACUACAUCCUGUGUGAACCCAGCAUCCAGAACAGAGUGGUGGAGGGCAUCCGGCAGACACUACUGGAGUUUUAUGGGCCUGACCCCAAAUCCUCCCCUGACUACAGCCGCAUCAUCAACCAGCGCCACUUCAACCGCUUGAUGACUCUACUGGAGGGCUACACGGCAACAGUAGGGGGGCAGAGUGACUCAUCACAGCGCUACAUUGCCCCCACGGUGGUGAAGGACGUGCCCCCCCAGGCUAGGCUGAUGCAGGAGGAGAUCUUCGGGCCCCUGUUGCCCAUAGUGACCGUCAGCGACAUAGAUGACGCCAUCCACUUCAUCAACGAGAGAGAGAAGCCCCUGGCGCUCUACGUCUUCUCCUCCAACAAGAAGGUGAUAAGGCGAAUGCUGGCUGAGACUACCAGUGGCGGGGUGACAGUCAACGACGUUAUUAUGCACUACACCCUCAACUCUCUGCCCUUUGGGGGUGUAGGUCAGAGUGGAACAGGAAGGUAUCAUGGAAAGCACACCUUUGACCAGUUCAGCCAUCAUCGGGCGUGUCUGGUCAAGUCCCUGGGCAUGGAGGAUGUCAACAUGGUGCGGUACCCACCCCAGAACCGCCAGAAGGCUCGCAGGGUCAGGCUGGCCAUGAGGACCCCACUGGUCGACUUCUCUAGGAAAACCUACAUCUGGGCCGUGACGGCCACCGUCUUUGCUUUCGGUCUCUUUGUCACCUUGACUGCCAUCCUGUUAAUUGCUGGUGGCUUGAACUGCACCUGUUGGAGACUUUGGCAAAUCUGGCGCUAGCUAGUCUUUACCUGUAUUGGCCGACGUACGAAAGACAUGUCCCUGUGUCUGGUUCCCCUGGCUUUGAAUAAUGUCUAAUGUCUUUGUGUGUCCGACACUGUAACUAAACUCACAACCCUGGUGGUGUAAGCCCCUGACUGUUGUUAGCGGUGUCAGCUUGCCAUCACCGAUCCUCUGUAAUGACGCCGAGCCACUGAUUUUGCCCAUGGCGGGCUGCUGUUUGCUUGCUAGAUGUGUUUUUUUUCUGAUCUUCCAUUUUAAUCUAUAAUUUCAUUCUAAUCUAAUUCUAUGAUUUAUCUUUGUUUGUUUAAAGAUUGUCAAAGAACUGAAAAAUUAGAUCUGUCUUUUAUUGGAAAGGGGAUGCCUAGUCAGUUGCACAACUGAAUCAACCAAAAUGUGUCUUCCUCAUUUAACCCCCAACCCCUCUGAAUCAGAGACCUGACUGCUUUCACAUAUAUGCUAACAAUAAUAGAAAAGGUGGAAUGGAAAGCGACACAGUAGCCAACAUAGGGAAUCCUUGAAUUUGGACUAUGGUUGAAAAAUUCCAGCAACUUUCCCAAAUGUUCCAGGUUUGCCUGAAAUCCUGGUUGGAAGAUUCCUGGAUUUCCUGUUUAGUCCCUCCUGAUUCCGGGAAUCUUCCAACAGGGAUUUCUGGUAAACCUGGGAAACUUGAACAUCAUAAUGUCUAACAUCUCUAACCCCAUUCCACAGGUCAGAGUGGAACAGGAAGGUAUCAUGGGAAGCACACCUUUGACCAGUUCAGCCAUCAUCGGGCGUGUCUGGUCAAGUCCCUGGGCAUGGAGGAGGUCCACAUGGCGGGGUAAGAAGGAUUUUUAAGCCUUGAGAUAAUUGAGACAUGGAUUGUGUAUGUGUGCCAUUCAGAGGGUGAAUGGACAAGACAAAAGAUGUAAGUGUCUUUGAACAGAGAAUGGUAGUAGAUGCCAGG